AAAGUGCGAUAAGUAAUGUGAAUUGCAGACCUUGUGAAUCAUCGAGUCUUUGAACGCAAGUUGCGCUAUCCUGUUGAGGGAUAGCAUGUUUGUAUGAGGGUUGUUAACCAACAACAGAUGGAAUGAGGCUUUUUCUGAAGCAAUGACGGGAAUGCCUUGAAAUCCAAACCCCAUGUAAAAUGCAUUUGAUUCUCAGCCUUUGUGUUGGGAAGGAAAGCUGAAAGCUAAAACAAAAAAACUUACUUUUAUGGUCUCUCUCGUCAAGAGGGAAAUCAUAUUUGGGGAUUGUAAUCAACCCUCCUCAGUGGGGUGGAUGAUUGCUUUUUUUACUAGUUUUUUCUUGUUUUUAGCAAGUUAUUCAGACUUUCCAAUUCUAUUUAAAUGCAACCUCAUAUCAAGC
This 400-nucleotide unclassified non-coding RNA is filed under the name uncultured fungus. Its description in RNAcentral is "sequence contains ITS1". The stretch from base 1 to 103 matches the Rfam family "5.8S ribosomal RNA", at positions 50 to 154 of the family's 154-position model. The record is from RNAcentral. Lineage: Eukaryota; Fungi.